UGUGAUGAAUAACCUAUAUAAUGAAAAGUCCUUGAGUCUAGUUUUCAACUCUUUAAAUCGUUUUCCAUUUAGACAUUCCUACACAAAGUUAAGGUAAAAUUACCAAAUGCUAAAAAAAUGCGAUCCUGUGUCACAUAUGUGAUCGCAAAAACCAUUAUGCGGUCCGCAUACUUGAUUUGUGAUCACAGAUCUGAUUGCAAAAUAGAUUAGUGAAGCUAGUUUUAGGCAUUGAGUUUUGCGAUACAUUUCCGGCCAGCUUUCCCAUUAUGCGACCGCAAACCUGCAUCCGUAGGGUUAAUUAUCCUUGUCAUACCUCUUUUUUACACACCACCCCAAAGGUGGUAUAAGGGAAUUUUUUCAGUUUAAGUAACAUUAUUCGAAAUGAGAUUAUUUAUUUAUUAGAGUUGCCACUUGGGAUAAGUUUGGCUUUUGGUGUUCCGAGUCACCAAUUUAUCUUGAAUCCCAAAUCGAGGAACUUUUUGACUUUCUAAGUGAAGUCUGCGAGCAGAAAUUCUUGAGUAAGGAAUUUUGUUAGCCCGAGGGAAAGUGUUAGGCACAUUCGGAUUUCGUG
Molecule: long non-coding RNA, 571 nt
Filed under: Nicotiana benthamiana
Lineage: Eukaryota; Viridiplantae; Streptophyta; Magnoliopsida; Solanales; Solanaceae
Description: long non-coding RNA (NBEN_LNC024229)
Source: RNAcentral